AAGUCGUAACAAGGUUUCCGUAGGUGAACCUGCGGAAGGAUCAUUACCGAUUUUAGCGGACCUGAUUUUUUGAUCAUGGUCUCGCGAAAACUUGUAUUUAAAACCCCACUCUUAUAAAUUGAAUCAUUAUAUAUGUAUAUAAUAAAUAAAGAUCACUUUCAACAACGGAUCUCUUGGCUCUC
This 182-nucleotide unclassified non-coding RNA is filed under the name Rhizophagus sp. (in: glomeromycetes). RNAcentral's name for it is "Rhizophagus sp. (in: Fungi) partial internal transcribed spacer region". The stretch from base 1 to 46 matches the Rfam family "Eukaryotic small subunit ribosomal RNA", at positions 1786 to 1831 of the family's 1831-position model. Lineage: Eukaryota; Fungi; Glomeromycota; Glomeromycetes; Glomerales; Glomeraceae. The record is from RNAcentral.